AAUUGAAAUUUGAAAUCGAUAUCGACAUCGAUUGAUCGAUUGAUCCGAAACGAACUCAAUUUUGGAUUUGAAAAUGAAAAAUUUUCUAAAUUUGGAACCAAAAAAAAUCGUCAAUUCACAUGUCGAUCAUCUUCAUACUCGUCCACCAUCAUCAUCAUCAAUUGAAUUUGGCAAAAAACAUGUCUUCGUCGUCAUCGGUAUGUGUAUACAAUGAAUUUGAAUUUAUCAAAAUUUAUUAUCUGCCAUUUGCAUAUAUGCCAUUUGUUGCUGUUACUGUUACUCAGAAAGAACAACAGAAAAACUCGAAAAUUUCACCAUCAAAUUUUGUUACAGGUGCUUCGUUGUCGUAAUCAAAUCGUUUUUUUCAUUUCAUUUUAUUAUUAUUUUUCAAGGAAAUUCCUGGUCAAUUACGAAAUGACAUGAAAAAUGUUUUUUCUGUUUUGUUUUGUUUUGUCUUUCAGCAACGAAAUUUUUAAGAAAAACAAUGCAAAAAAAAAUCCUUGUUGUUACACAUUUGAUCCAUUGAUUCCAUGAAAUGAAAUUGAUUGAAAAUUGUUGCCGAUGAUUAUGAUGCCAAUGCAAUGAACCUCAAGAUAUUUUUUUUCAACUGAAUUAAAUUCAAUCCAUCAUCAUCAACACGAUCAUCAUGAAUAUGAAGAAAAUCAUUCGAUGCACACUGGCCAACCACCAAAGUCGAUAUAGCCAUGAAAUGAAAAGAUUCGAUAAUGUAAAAUUGAAACAUUGAAAUGAUUUUUUGUUUUGUUUGGUGUCAAUUUGAAAAUGGCCACAAAUACGACGAACCGAAAACCGAAAAAACAUUUCAAAUAAUUUUCAUCAUCAUUGGCCAACCGAAUCGAAAUUUGAAAUGAAUGAAUGUUUUUUUUUCACCGGUAAAAUUUAUUUCAAUGAAUCUCAAUACCUUGUAGGGUAGGGUGAGUAUCUUUUAUUAUCUGGUUUCAAUAUAACCAACAAUCAACCGACAAAAUAUAAACCGGUAUCAUCAUCAUCAUCAUUAUCAUUAUUUUCAUUCAUUCAACCGUAUUGUCAAAUUUUCGAUACAUUCACUUUAUCAUUUUUUUCCGUUAUUACUUUAUAUAUCGGAUGACUGAUCAUUGACUGCCAUCACCAUUUACCAUCAUGGCUGAUGAUGAUAUCGUUUCUUUCUUUUUUUUUGUCAAAGACACAUAAAUAACUAAUAAUGAUCAUCGCCAUAACAACAACAACAAGAUAAAAUGUUAUUUAAAUUGCACAUGGGCAACAUACCUUGAAAUGAUAUCAUCAUCAUUAUCGAAGUUAUGAUUUAAAUUUGAAAUUGAAAUUUUCACAUAUAAAAUCGUUUUGAUAUUU
Non-coding RNA from Dermatophagoides farinae (American house dust mite), 1347 nucleotides. The record is from RefSeq and is a predicted model, not a curated record. Lineage: Eukaryota; Metazoa; Arthropoda; Arachnida; Sarcoptiformes; Pyroglyphidae.